This 460-nucleotide ribosomal RNA is filed under the name uncultured bacterium. Its description in RNAcentral is "bacterial SSU rRNA". It matches the Rfam family "Bacterial small subunit ribosomal RNA", at positions 29 to 472 of the family's 1533-position model. The record is from RNAcentral.
AACGAACGCUGGCGGCGUGGAUAAGACAUGCAAGUCGAACGGGAUUACUUUUGGUAGCAAUACCGAAAGUGAUUCAGUGGCGAACGGGUGCGUAACACGUGGGCAAUCUACCGAGAAGUGGGGAUAGCUCGCCGAAAGGCGAAUUAAUACCGCAUGUGAUCAGAGGCGACAUCGCUUCGAAAUCAAAGGUGGCGCAAGCUACCGCUUUUUGAGGAGCCCGCGGCCAUCAGCUUGUUGGUGAGGUAACGGCUCACCAAGGCAUUGACGGGUAGCUGGUCUGAGAGGACGACCAGUCACACUGGGACUGAGACACGGCCCAGACACCUACGGGUGGCAGCAGUCGAGUAAUUUUUCUCAAUGGGGAAACCCUGAAGGAGCGACGCCGCGUGGAGGAUGAAGGUCUUCGGGUUGUAAACUCCUGUCAUUUGGGAACAAGGUGUGCGCGUUAACUGCGCGCGCA